UACGGAGGGAGCUAGCGUUGUUCGGAAUUACUGGGCGUAAAGCGCGUGUAGGCUGCUCUGCAAGUCGGAUGUGAAGCCCUGGCUCAACCUAGGAAGUGCACUCGAACUGCGGAGCUUGAGUCUCGGAGAGGAUCGCGGAAUUCUCGGUGUAGAGGUGAAAUUCGUAGAUAUCGAGAGGAACACCGGUGGCGAAGGCGGCGAUCUGGACGAUGACUGACGCUGAGACGCGAAGCGUGGGAGCAA
Molecule: ribosomal RNA, 243 nt
Filed under: uncultured bacterium
Lineage: Bacteria
Description: partial 16S ribosomal RNA
Rfam family: Bacterial small subunit ribosomal RNA
Source: RNAcentral